GACGAACGCUGGCGGCGUGCUUAACACAUGCGAGUCGAACGGUAAGGCCCCUUCGGGGGUACACGAGUGGCGAACGGGUGAGUAACACGUGAGCAACCUGCCCUUGACUUUGGGAUACCAGCUGGAAACAGCUGCUAAUACCGGAUAUGACCUCUUCUCUCAUGGGUUGAGGUGGAAAGCUCCGGCGGUCAGGGAUGGGCUCGCGGCCUAUCAGCUUGUUGGUGAGGUAAUGGCUCACCAAGGCUUCGACGGGUAGCCGGCCUGAGAGGGCGACCGGCCACACUGGGACUGAGAUACGGCCCGGACUCCUACGGGAGGCAGCAGGGGGGAAUAUUGCCCAAUGGGCGCAAGCCUGAUGCAGCAACGCCGCGUGCGGGAUGACGGCCUUCGGGUUGUAACCGCUUUCAGUAGGGACGAAGCUAACGUGACGGUACCUACAGAAGAAGGACCGGCUAACUACGUG
Molecule: ribosomal RNA, 463 nt
Filed under: uncultured bacterium
Lineage: Bacteria
Description: partial 16S ribosomal RNA
Rfam family: Bacterial small subunit ribosomal RNA
Source: RNAcentral